This 904-nucleotide ribosomal RNA is filed under the name Schizochytrium aggregatum. Its description in RNAcentral is "partial Bacterial large subunit ribosomal RNA". It matches the Rfam family "Bacterial large subunit ribosomal RNA", at positions 52 to 972 of the family's 2925-position model. Lineage: Eukaryota; Bigyra; Thraustochytrida; Thraustochytriidae. The record is from RNAcentral.
AAAGACGUAGUAGCCUGCGAUAAGCCUCGGGGAGCUGGCAAACAAGCUUUGAUCCGAGGAUUUCUGAAUGGGGCAACCCACGGCUUAGGCCGUAUCCCGCAAGGGAGGCUAACGCAGGGAACUGAAACAUCUAAGUACCUGCAGGAAAAGAAAUCAACCGAGAUUCCCCUAGUAGUGGCGAGCGAACGGGGAAUAGCCCAAACCUGCUUUGUGGCAACGCUUAGCAGGGGUUGUAGGACCACGCUGUCGUACUUAGAUUGUGAGAAGAAUGUUCUGGAAAGAACAAUCAUAGAGGGUGAUAAUCCCGUAUUCGAAGCAUGACGAGACGUAGUGGUAUCCUGAGUAACGCGGAACACGUGAAAUUCUGCGCGAAUCCGCCGGGACCAUCCGGUAAGGCUAAAUACUCCCGUGAGACCGAUAGUGAACGAGUACUGUGAAGGAAAGGUGAAAAGCACUCCGAUGAGGAGAGUGAAAUAGUUCCUGAAACCAUGCGCCUACAAGCGGUCGGAGCCGCGUAAGCGGUGACGGCGUGCCUUUUGCAUAAUGAACCUACGAGUUACCAUGUCUGGCAAGGAUAAGCGUCAUGAGACGCGCAUCCGCAGUGAAAGCGAGCCUGAAAAGGGCGUCGAGUCAGAUGGGGUAGACGCGAAACCAAGUGAUCUACACUUGCCCAGGUUGAAGUCCGGGUAACACCGGAUGGAGGACCGCACGGAUAAGCGUUGAAAAGCUUCCCGAUGAGGUGAGUGUAGGAGUGAAAGGCCAAUCAAACUUGGAGAUAGCUCGUACUCCCCGAAAGGCAUUUAGGUGCCGCGUGCAUCGAUUUCCAUAAGAGGUAGAGCGACCGAUAGGUCAAGAGGGCUUCACCGCCUAUCGAGACCUGACGAACUCCGAAUGCUUAUGGACA